This is a long non-coding RNA of Aegilops tauschii subsp. strangulata, 1024 nucleotides long. RefSeq lists it as uncharacterized. The record is from RefSeq and is a predicted model, not a curated record. Lineage: Eukaryota; Viridiplantae; Streptophyta; Magnoliopsida; Poales; Poaceae.
CGCAAAAGCGCCGGCAGGCAAUGUCGUGGUCGCCUCCUUCCCUAAUCCACCUGCUACCUUCCACAUAUCCAAUCAUCCCAGGCAAACCCGUCGCCAAUCGAAUCGUUGACUUCUAAUUGCCUUCGCUAGAUCUAGAGGCCACACCGCGGCUAACCCUCCAGGCGCGCGCUGGAGCUCCUUCUUUCAGCGGCCAAACACGGCAUCGCCUUACAGCGGAGAAGCCGAUCGAGGUUGUCUUGUUGCCAGCGGUGCGGAGACUGGAGAGAGGUUGGCGUAAGAUAGAACUGCCUCGCGCAAAUUCCAUCUUAGUAUAUGGACUGCACAUUGUUGCAAUUUCUGUCCGGUCUAAUGCACUAUUUGUUGGGUAUGACUGAGGAGGAACACAGCAAAGACAUGAAUUGAUACCGAUACCGCCAACCAGGUAGAUAUUUUUGUUGUCUAACAAACUGGACACAACUGCAGUACACUUCAAAAAUCGUCUCACUUUUAUGUUUAUUCACAACAUCACUUAUCAUGUUGUUUCUGGUAUGGCACCAUGAAAGAUUUCAAAUAAUUUAUUGGUGUAGUCGGGUGUGUCUAUGAGGAGCGAUUUUUUCUCCUGUUGCAACGCACGGGCAUGUUUGCUAGUAAUAAUAAAGCAAGGAGUGCUUCUAGCGGUCAGUCACACAAUUUUGCCGAAAACCCCCUGCAUUUUCUGUGAGUUAGCCCGCAGUACACACUUAAGUCACAACCGAACCGUUAUAUUGCAUUUUUUCAGAACCACCCUGACUUUUGUGACGCCACCGUUUCAAUCGUACACUAAUCAUACACACAAACAUGUACGAACAAGAUCAGAUACUCAUGGGAAGAUAUCACAACACAACUCUAAAAACAAAUUAAGUCAUACAAGCUUCAUAUUACAAGCCAGGGGCCUCGAGAGCUCGAAUGCAAAUGCUCGAUCAUAAAUGAGUCAGCGGAAGCAACAAUAUCUGAGUACAGACAUAAGUUAAACAAGGUGUCAUAAGAUGGCUAGCACAAACAUAGA